RNAcentral lists this ribosomal RNA (255 nucleotides) under uncultured bacterium. RNAcentral describes it as "partial 16S ribosomal RNA". It matches the Rfam family "Bacterial small subunit ribosomal RNA", at positions 524 to 776 of the family's 1533-position model. The record is from RNAcentral.
UACGUAGGGUGCGAGCGUUGUCCGGAAUUAUUGGGCGUAAAGGGCUCGUAGGCGGUCUGUUGCGUCAGGAGUGAAAACUCGGGGCUUAACCCCCGAGCCUGCUUCUGAUACGGGCAGACUAGAGGUAUGCAGGGGGAGAACGGAAUUCCUGGUGUAGCGGUGAAAUGCGCAGAUAUCAGGAGGAACACCGGUGGCGAAGGCGGUUCUCUGGGCAUUACCUGACGCUGAGGAGCGAAAGUGUGGGGAGCGAACAGG